GGAGGAGUACCCAAGUGGCUGUAAGGGAAACGCUUGGAAGGCGUUCGUAGCCGUAAGGCUACCGUGGGUUCGAAUCCCACCUCCUCCGCCA
Molecule: transfer RNA, 91 nt
Filed under: candidate division WWE3 bacterium CG_4_10_14_0_2_um_filter_42_7
Lineage: Bacteria; candidate division WWE3
Also listed under: 1 other name
Description: tRNA-Ser
Rfam family: tRNA
About the family: Transfer RNA (tRNA) molecules are approximately 80 nucleotides in length. Their secondary structure includes four short double-helical elements and three loops (D, anti-codon, and T loops).
Source: RNAcentral